UUUAAAAAAAGUCUCCACAUAGUAACCUAGCAAAUUUUGUUAUUGAAAGUGUAUUUGGAUCUCUUUCAUUUUAUAUUUUAUAUGUAGUAGAGCUUUGUUAUUGAAUUUUGAAUGUCAUUUUCUUUCUUUAUUAGAACAAAUUCUUAUUCUAAGUUCUACUGUUUACAGUUUGGAGGGAUUAACAUUACCAUAGAAAACUUUUACCAAUUGAAACAUAACAUC
Molecule: long non-coding RNA, 222 nt
Filed under: Carica papaya (papaya)
Lineage: Eukaryota; Viridiplantae; Streptophyta; Magnoliopsida; Brassicales; Caricaceae
Description: long non-coding RNA (CPAP_LNC008905)
Source: RNAcentral